GAACAGAGUACGCUUUUAGUCAUUAGACAACAGCGAUGUAGUAUGAAAAAUAUUAAGAACAUUGUAUGAAUAGUUGGAACAUAAGGAAAAUACUCUCAGACACUCACACACCCAUCUCAACAGGUAUGAAAAUUUCCUAUAAUACAUAAAUACAUACGUAUAAUACAUAAUACAUAUGUAUACGAACAUAUUUAAUAAAUAUACAAUACCCUACAUUCAUGUAUACACGAUAACGUACAAGCAAAUACGCAUAUGCAUACAUUCAUGUUUCGUAUAGAAAUAUUUAUAAAAAGUUUUCCAUGCGUAUACGUAUUGUACAUACAUAUGUAUUUUUUAGAAAGACAGAGAACUUUAAAUGUAUACAGUGGGUAUAUAAAUACAUUCAACAAAAGUUUCUCAAGAAAAAUUAGAUUUUUAUUUAUUUUUUUUUUUGUUUGAAACUGUAUUCUUUCUUUUUUACUGGCUCCCAGGCAUUCAACGUUAUUCGCGCAGACCAGAUCUGAUAUUGAAAAGUUUAUACUAUUCCGUGAUAUGUAAUCAACCAAUAAAUCAACAAAUGCGAAAUAAUAAAUAAAAUGUGAAAUG
This 585-nucleotide long non-coding RNA is filed under the name Drosophila guanche. Lineage: Eukaryota; Metazoa; Arthropoda; Insecta; Diptera; Drosophilidae. The record is from RNAcentral.